UACGGAGGGUGCAAGCGUUAUCCGGAUUCACUGGGUUUAAAGGGUGCGUAGGCGGGCAGGUAAGUCAGUGGUGAAAUCUCCGGGCUUAACCCGGAAACUGCCGUUGAUACUAUCUGUCUUGAAUAUUGUGGAGGUAAGCGGAAUAUGUCAUGUAGCGGUGAAAUGCUUAGAUAUGACAUAGAACACCAAUUGCGAAGGCAGCUCGCUACACAUAUAUUGACUCUGAGGCACGAAAGCGUGGGGAUCAAACAGG
This 253-nucleotide ribosomal RNA is filed under the name uncultured bacterium. RNAcentral's name for it is "partial 16S ribosomal RNA". It matches the Rfam family "Bacterial small subunit ribosomal RNA", at positions 524 to 776 of the family's 1533-position model. The record is from RNAcentral.